Molecule: microRNA precursor, 95 nt
Filed under: Marmota monax (woodchuck)
Lineage: Eukaryota; Metazoa; Chordata; Mammalia; Rodentia; Sciuridae
Source: RNAcentral
AGUAUGAUUGCUGGAUUACAUUAUAAGAAUAUGUUUUGUUUUGUAAGCAACUGCUAAACUGUCUUCCAAAGACAUUUUGCAUUUCCACCAGCAAU